Long non-coding RNA from Solanum pennellii, 3649 nucleotides. RefSeq lists it as uncharacterized. The transcript is spliced from 2 exons. The record is from RefSeq and is a predicted model, not a curated record. Lineage: Eukaryota; Viridiplantae; Streptophyta; Magnoliopsida; Solanales; Solanaceae.
UUAAUUUUUCAAGUGAAAUUUAUUUUCAUGCGUCUUUUUUCAAAAAAUGAGCCUUUUAAAUGUGUCCUGGUAAGUUUCUGAGAUGUCUUUUUUUUUAAAGCCAAAGUUAAACUGCUUUUGUUCUGUGGUAAGAACUUCCGCUUAAUACCUCUCUGAGCUGAAGGAAAAUUAUUCAAGUGUCCUUUGCAGAAUGACUUGAUGAAGUUAAAACUCUAGAUUUCGAAAAAGUAUAUCAUUUUCAAGUUUUAAAUUACUUUUUAUGAGUUAAACAAGAAUUCUUUUCAUGGAUUUUGAAGUGUCAGUGGUGGAAGUUACUACCCUCACCUGUUUAUGAACUUGUAUAAUAUAUCGUGGUGUUUGUUAUCUGCCUAUGUUAUUCCACAAUGAAGGCUUACAAAUGGUACUUUUGAUUAGUUAGAUGCUUUUUAACAAAUACAAGUGUACAACUAACAAGUUAAAUUGCAAGUAUCUGUGGCAUAAGUUAUUUGGAUUGUUUGACUAAACUAUUGUUGCUCCAUCUUCAAUUAGUGUAUCUUUUUGGUGGCACAAAAAAUGAGAAGAUCUUAUGUUGAGGCUUUUGCUGGUGCUUGAUUGUAUGUUUGAUUUGAUCACAAUAAUGAUCACAGCAACCUCAGCCACGAUUUGGAGAAUCUCAUCUCUGCCUUAUGGACCUUAGGCGGUUGCUGUGAUUUCUCUAGUAUGUGAAAUAGUAGUCAUCUGAACUUACAUUUCUUACUGUCAACCAUAUGCAAGCUGGGAUCGAGCUCCAGCAGCUCGUCUGCCUCACUAUACCUCCCAUGUUGUUCCAACACAUCAGCAGGUCUCCUUGGACUUUGGCAUAGCCCACUUAACUCCUAUGACUGCACAGUGAAUAAAAAGAUGAUUGAGGGUCUCAGAUUCCUUCCCACACAAAAAAAAAACAUCUGAAUAUAAGUCAGACAUGCCUCUUUAGCAACCAACAUGUACUUUGUAUGGUAUUUUAACCUUACAGAUAUGUUUCCAAGGCCAUAUGCAUUGAUUCCCAGAAGCAUUAAAAAUUGUAUAAGCAGAACUAACUGAGAAUAGGCCUUAACUAGCUUCCAACUUGCUCUCUUUUCAUUGUUUUUAUAUCUCCCGAUCAACCUUCUGACAUUCCACCCUAAGAUUAAGCGCUUCCCAUCAGAACUUAACCUAAAAGUAUCACUUCUAGACUCAAAUACCCAAGUAUAAGAUAGUGAUAAGUUGGUAACAAUCCCAACUUAUCUAUGGUCCAGGUAAUUUUCUGCUGGCAGAUAUUGUGGGAUGUCACAUGACUGCUAUUGUAACUUAGCUUCCACCCCCCUCCUCUUAAGCUCUUUGCACAAAGAUGCUGUAGAACUUCCACACUUGAUGUCAGAUGAUGUAAAAAAUCUGGCAUAUUUAAGUAUCAACACUCAUCGGGUUUCGAACUUGAGAUCUCCAACAUGGAAGUCCCAAGCUCAAACCACUGGGCCACCCCGAAGGGUACUCAUCUUGUAAUUUGUAUUUUCUACUUUCUAACUUAGUUUCGUUUUUCAGUUUUUUUCUUUUGUUUCUUGAGAUCAAUUAAUAGAUAUAUAGACAGAUAUACUAUUCUCUUCUAAUUUUAACUAUAAAUAAGAUAUACAUGUGGAGUAUGAAAAAGCGAAUGAUGUUUAUAAAUAACUUCAUAUUAUCAAUUAAGGGAAUGAUCCUGAAAUAUAAUUAUACAGUACCUCUGUCUCUUUUGUGGUGAACUAUUUAGAAUUAAUUCACAAGAAUUUAUAUUGUCAUAAAAAAAAAAGGGAACUAUAUAAUUGUUAACCCAUUUUCUUUUCUGGUUCAUUACUGAUGCUUGUAUUAAUUAUUAUAUAAACUACUUUCUAGUCAAGUCGCUUGAAGAAUUGCAUAAUGAUCAAUCAAGCUACUUGAAUGUGGAUCACAUGUACUAGUAGCUAUUAAAGCGGUAUAAAGUUUAAAGUACAAAAGAACAUGUCACUUCAACACCUAAAACUGGAACGCAUCACCAAAUUAUGUGGUAUAUCACAAUUUUUUUGUGAACAAUAAUUCUUUGUAAGAGAGGAAAUUUUUUCUUAGGUGUGCUUGUCUUCAUCAUCUAAUUAAAUUUAUUUGUUGUAUUUAAUUUAGCACAUAAGUGAUAAUGCUAUUAAACUAGAUGUGAUACACUGUUAAUAGACUGCCUCAUCUUUCCAUCUGUUCAAGCCUUGGGGACGUGUAUCUGUGUGGGUGGGAGGUUGUAGGUACCCCGUGGAAUUAGUCAAGGUAUGUGCAAGCUGAAGAUAUACUUGGCACUGUGGUUUAUUAUUGCGCGACAAUGAGCUUCUUAAUAAUAAGUUACAGUUUGCUUGCCAAUUACCUCGAGUUAUGAUGAACUCGAAGGCCAUUAUUUUGCCCACAAUGUGGCAAAGAACCUGCUCCUUUUUUUACUCACUUUUUAUUUCCUGAUAAGCUGUUUAGUGCUCCAACGCACAUCAGCGAUAUGCUUUCUGCUUAAUUAUCAAGAUUUUAUUAAGCUAGUCCAAGUAAGGUGUCUGCACUAACUCCGCACACAUGCUUCUGCUGCUUCAUCUUUCUUUCUAUGUAUAAAGCUUGUUAAGAAAAUGGUAUAAGGUAUGCAUCAUUCCAUAACCUUUGGAGAGAUGAUGCUGCAGCCUGCAGGACAGAGGGGACUGCAACACCCCAUAAGCAAAUACUUAAAUUUUUUGCCAUCUUGUUGGUGAAAAUUUAGCUUUUUAAUAAAUAAUAUUGUGAAGAAUUCAGGUUCAUGCUAGAGAUUAGGCAGGACACAAGCUUUAAGUAGGCGUAGACACAGUGGUGCAUAUAGAAGAAUAAAACUCAUAGAUAUGUGGCAAAAGGGGUCGAUGGGUCAACAAAAGAAGAUAUAAUUACGAGUAUGUACUCAUUAUGAACAAUCUGAAGAAAUAUAUAAAGGUAGCUGAACUAUGCAAUUUCUAAGCGUUUCAUGUGAUAUAGCUAGGUUGUUUUCUGUCUGGUGCUUUACCUUAUCAAAAUGUAUUAUUUUGACUGGCUUUUUAGGUAAAUGGAUUUACAGCUAAAUAAGGCAGAUUUGAGCCGUCCAAUUUAAACUCUAUUCCAGAUGAAAGAGAAAAGAUGCCCUGUUGGAAAGCUUGAAGAAGCUGUGUAUUAUAUGGCAGGACAAUUGAAAACUUCUACUGGUUGUGGGAGACUAUGAUUACUUGGUCAAGUUACUGGAGGGGAUUCUGUGUUUACUGAUUAUCGCUGUUAUUUUUAUGAGCAGCCUAGCACUAAUAUACUGCUGGACAUCACCAAACAAAUAAAGUGUGGGAGUUUCCAUUUACAAAAAUCUGUUCAUCACAUUACUGAGCUACUGAAUUAUACUACUAUUUUCUCCUAAGUUUUCCCAUUUACAAAAAUCUGUGCAUCAGAAUACUGAGCUACAACUUGUGUAUUACAGCAAGGAGCUACAGAAGUAGUAUUGAAUUCUUUCCUCAUUUUGGCAUGGGAAUUGGUCUUGCAAUGGAGGAAGCAUGCUAAAUGUGAGGAGAGGAAUUGCAACUUUUGCACUCAUUUGGCUUUUAUCUUGUGCUGCCACUUGCAAGAACGUCUUUUUGGUUUGUUUUUUUUAAAAUUAUUUUCCCCUUCCAAAUCCUUAAUAGAAUUUGUUAAUCUA